RNAcentral lists this transfer RNA (76 nucleotides) under Eubacterium sp. RNAcentral describes it as "tRNA-Phe". It matches the Rfam family "tRNA". From Rfam's summary of the family: Transfer RNA (tRNA) molecules are approximately 80 nucleotides in length. Their secondary structure includes four short double-helical elements and three loops (D, anti-codon, and T loops). RNAcentral also lists the same sequence under 9 other names. The record is from RNAcentral. Lineage: Bacteria; Bacillati; Bacillota; Clostridia; Eubacteriales; Eubacteriaceae.
GCCUCUGUAGCUCAGUUGGUAGAGCAGGGGACUGAAAAUCCCCGUGUCGUUGGUUCGAUUCCGAUCGGAGGCACCA